GAUGAACGCUGGCGGCGUGCCUAAUACAUGCAAGUCGAGCGAACAGAUGAGGAGCUUGCUCCUCUGACGUUAGCGGCGGACGGGUGAGUAACACGUGGAUAACCUACCUAUAAGACUGGUAUAACUUCGGGAAACCGGAGCUAAUACCGGAUAAUAUAUUGAACCGCAUGGUUCAAUAGUGAAAGACGGUUUUGCUGUCACUUAUAGCUGGAUCCGCGCCGCAUUAGCUAGUUGGUAAGGUAACGGCUUACCAAGGCAACGAUGCGUAGCCGACCUGAGAGGGUGAUCGGCCACACUGAAACUGAGACACGGUCCAGACUCCUACGGGAGGCAGCAGUAGGGAAUCUUCCGCAAUGGGCGAAAGCCUGACGGAGCAACGCCGCGUGAGUGAUGAAGGGCUUCGGAUCGUAAAACUCUGUUAUUGGGGAAGAACAAAUGUGUAAGUAACUAUGCACGUCUUGACGGUACCUAUUCAGAAAGCCACGGCUAACUACGU
Molecule: ribosomal RNA, 496 nt
Filed under: uncultured bacterium
Lineage: Bacteria
Description: partial 16S ribosomal RNA
Rfam family: Bacterial small subunit ribosomal RNA
Source: RNAcentral